RNAcentral lists this transfer RNA (87 nucleotides) under Calditrichota bacterium. RNAcentral's name for it is "Calditrichaeota bacterium tRNA-Leu". It matches the Rfam family "tRNA". From Rfam's summary of the family: Transfer RNA (tRNA) molecules are approximately 80 nucleotides in length. Their secondary structure includes four short double-helical elements and three loops (D, anti-codon, and T loops). Lineage: Bacteria; Pseudomonadati; Calditrichota. The record is from RNAcentral.
GCCGAAGUGGUGAAAUUGGUAGACGCGCACGGUUCAGGGCCGUGUGGGAGCAAUUCCGUGUGGGUUCGAGUCCCACCUUCGGCACAA